CAAGCAGUCCCAAAAUUUAUUAUUACAUGAUAAGAGGUUUACAAAAGUUGUUACAAUACAAUAAAUUAAUAAGAAAUGAAUAAAUGAAUAAAUAAAAGGGAAUGAACUACCCUAUUUUCCCAUAAACUACCAGCGACUCUUUGAAUCCCUCCGCAUCCCUAAUUAUACCUGUUUGGCAUGAAUAAAGUAGCACAAAGGAAAAAGAGCGAAUACCCCUUACGUUGCUUCGAAAACACAGAAACAAGGAAAGCAAGGCAUAACAAAUGAAGUACAAAUAACAGAGAUCCUAAAGGCGUGUUUUGUAGCAUCACUAUAUAAGGUAUUAAAAUUGCAAUGAAAGGAACUUAUCGGUUGACGAUAAUAAGCAAUAAUAAGAAAACCAAACUGAAUUACCACAGAUAAAUGAAGAUCAAUUCUCCAAAAAUGAGUGCGAUUCAAGAAUAAUAAAGUAAUUUCCUCUAGUUUUAAGAGCAACGCUUAAAGCUUUUUCAUAUGAAAAAUAUAGUGUUUAAAGAGUACAGAGAAUGUUUGCAAUGUUUUAAAGCGUGCCUAAGGAAAUAAGAAGAGAUUGUUUAUAUAAAAUAAAAAGGGGGAAUGGAGGAUCUGAAUAGAAAAAGGAAAGAAAAUAUUUUAACCCCUCAGUCAAGGAAAAAUCUUCCUUAAAUCCAUGGCUGAUUCAAUUAGGUCAGCAAAUCAUGCAAAUUCCAAAAAAUAAGGAAAACGAGGAUUGGGGCAAUCAAUCAAAACUCCCUUAAUUAGCACCGAAUCAAGAGAUACAAUAAUAAUCUAUUCACACAUUUAUAAUGCAUAUUGAACUUCCAUAAAUAAACAAGUGAAAUUAUUAUGACUUAAUACAAUAAAACACUGAUAAUAGAAACGCUCCCAUGUUAAACAUUACGGAUUGCGAUUAUUCAAAAAAUAAACCUCCGACCAUGAUACAAAUCACAAGGAGAUCAAAUCACGGGAAUCAAAUUAGCACUUAAUUGUUAUGAACCAUAUUUUAAAUUCAACUAAAAAUUUUGAUCUUUAUGGCAGAGAUUGCUCCUAAUUCAAGAAAACCAAAAUAAUCCACAAACAAUCAACAAACAGUAGUAAGAUCGGUAAAUAAACAUGAUUAAGUCAUAAUUCAAAAUUGUGUAUUGUCAAUUAAAAGACCGACCAAAAGAAAAUGAGGAUACUCAAACCAGAAACUCAAUCGGGAAGGAAAACCUGAGACGAAUUUUGUAAAUCCGUCAUGCGUUAGUGAUUUCGACAGCAUUUAUCCUAAAAUAAUAGUGGUAGCAACGUGACUUUUCUGUCGGCGAUGAGCGUUGCAUAGUCGGCUGGGACUCACCGGUCAUCAACUCUGGUGAAUACAAGUGAUAAGAGAGAAUAUUGGUAGUGAGAGCCAUAGCAGUGACCGGUGACGACUGGUGUUAUUGCUGUUGCCGCUGUUGGUGGCGUCAGUCGGAACGUGUGGACGAGUUUUCAUCGAGAAUGGGAGAUAGGGCGCCGGCUAUAUGGGGGAGACCUCUUGGUUGAAACAGUGGUUAUUGGGAGCUUCGUUGGCUGAGCGGCGGCCAGUUUUGAUGGAUGGUUGGCCUCCCAUUGAUGGAGUAGUGGGGGUUUACGCCGGCCAUGGUGGAAAAUGGCAUGAGGGAGAAGCCGGCGGCAGUCAAGUGUUGCUGGUCCAUCGGCGGUGGUUGACAUUAUAGAGAGAGAGAGAAGAGAAGGGAGACAGAGCAAAAGGGGAAGGAAAUGCGAAUGUUGGAAAAAUUUUAGGGUUUAGGGUAGUCUGAGGGUGAAAAGGAAAGAAAGAAAGUUUUGGAUCUCAGCCGUUGGAUUAUUUUUUAUCAACAGCUGAGAUCAAAAUGAUCUAAAAAUGUGUUAGAAUUUAAAUUCUAAUUUGAGAUCAAAAAAUUGACAAAAAUUGUCAUUAACUUGAUACAAUAUGGCUAGAA
RNAcentral lists this long non-coding RNA (1940 nucleotides) under Capsicum annuum. RNAcentral's name for it is "long non-coding RNA (CANN_LNC010105)". The record is from RNAcentral. Lineage: Eukaryota; Viridiplantae; Streptophyta; Magnoliopsida; Solanales; Solanaceae.